Molecule: unclassified non-coding RNA, 295 nt
Filed under: Hevea brasiliensis (rubber tree)
Lineage: Eukaryota; Viridiplantae; Streptophyta; Magnoliopsida; Malpighiales; Euphorbiaceae
Source: RNAcentral
GUAUUUUAAUUUAGGAAUUCAUGGAAAUUGACACUUGCUGCAGCCUGCAGUCCAUAUACUUUAUUUUUAUUAUAUAAUUUGUCAUGUGUAAUUAAAAUCAGGGCUUCUGCCCGUAUUCUAAAUUUUAGGUUUGUAGAGUGCUUGGAUUUGUCUGAGUUGCUUAUCUUUAAAAUCCAGCUCUUCCCUUGCUUCCUUCUUUUUAUUCUAUGUUAAUGUGGAUCUCAUUCCAAAAUCUUCAAUCUUCUCUUGCCUUCUCUCUAUCUUCCCAAUGUGCGUGCUCACAAACAUAUUCAGC